UACGAAGGGGGCUAGCGUUGCUCGGAAUCACUGGGCGUAAAGCGCACGUAGGCGGAUCUUUAAGUCAGGGGUGAAAUCCUGGAGCUCAACUCCAGAACUGCCUUUGAUACUGAGGAUCUCGAGUCCGGGAGAGGUGAGUGGAACUGCGAGUGUAGAGGUGAAAUUCGUAGAUAUUCGCAAGAACACCAGUGGCGAAGGCGGCUCACUGGCCCGGUACUGACGCUGAGGUGCGAAAGCGUGGGGAGCAAACAGGG
RNAcentral lists this ribosomal RNA (254 nucleotides) under uncultured bacterium. RNAcentral describes it as "partial 16S ribosomal RNA". It matches the Rfam family "Bacterial small subunit ribosomal RNA", at positions 524 to 777 of the family's 1533-position model. The record is from RNAcentral.